UUGGAAGGGUGGAGGAUCGCUUUCGAUGUUGAUUCGUCGAGGGAGGAAAGUCCGAACACCACAGGGCGCGAUGCCGCGUAACCCUUGGGUUGCCAUGGGAUACACGCGGGCGUCGCAUUCGUAAGGAUGCGGCGACGGAAAGUGCCACAGAAAACAAACCGCCGCGGUUUCGGCCGUGGUAAGGGUGAAAAGGUGGGGCAAGAGCCCACCGCGCCAAGCGCAAGCAAGGCGGCACGGUAAACCCCAUCGGGUGCAAGACCAAAUAGGGGGUCAGGAGCGGCCCGCCCCGAGAUCGGAAACGAUCACGGCCCCGGGUUAGGUCGCAGCAGAUAAAUGGUCCUCUCCGCCGGAAACGGCGCAGACAAAAUUCGGCUUACAACUCUUCCAAGGUC
Molecule: RNase P RNA, 392 nt
Filed under: Verrucomicrobiales bacterium
Lineage: Bacteria; Pseudomonadati; Verrucomicrobiota; Verrucomicrobiia; Verrucomicrobiales
Description: RNase P RNA component class A
Rfam family: Bacterial RNase P class A
About the family: Ribonuclease P (RNase P) is a ubiquitous endoribonuclease, found in archaea, bacteria and eukarya as well as chloroplasts and mitochondria. Its best characterised activity is the generation of mature 5'-ends of tRNAs by cleaving the 5'-leader elements of precursor-tRNAs. Cellular RNase Ps are ribonucleoproteins.
Source: RNAcentral